Molecule: long non-coding RNA, 3892 nt
Organism: Populus euphratica (Euphrates poplar)
Lineage: Eukaryota; Viridiplantae; Streptophyta; Magnoliopsida; Malpighiales; Salicaceae
Exons: 10
Source: RefSeq, a predicted model, not a curated record
CCAUGUGAUCCUUAUAGAUUCAUCACAAAGAUUUCUAGCCCAAGGAAAUACUAGCGGAAUUGAACAUGUCCCCUUUUAUCAAUGUAAGAAUCAAGAAAUAAAAUAAAUAAAAUUGGGGUUGAGAAGAAAGGAAGGACUGAAAAAGAGAUCAUAGAAAAAAAAAAAAAAAAAAAAAACCCUGUAAAACUGCUCUUCAACCCGCCUUUCAACCGUUUCCUUUAACGAUAAAACAAAAAUCAAGACAUUGUGUGAAUGCGAUGUGACGAAACCUAGCUGGCAGUCUUCUCUUUCUGCACAGCCAAUAUCUCUCUCUCCUGGAUUUGUUGCUUGAAGAAGAUAGGGAGAGAAGGAGAAGAGGAUAGAUCAUCGAUCAUCAUUAUCUUAGCCGUUAAUUCUAAAAGGAGCUGUAUUGAUUGACAAUUGAUCCAAUGUACACUGCAGCGAGUCCAUCACCAUCGUCUCCAUCAAUUAUGUUUUAUGAUUUUCUUUAUAAAAUGCGAAACCCUGCUUCAUUCAAUCCUGUCAAGUCUAUUAAAAGCUUCAUUGUAUCAUUCCUAUUUUCAUCUGCCAGCCUUGAAAACAAUAGCAAAAAGUACAAGAGUUUCUCUGGACAAUGGAAGCAGCUAUCAUUGAACAUCCGUUAUGAGCAGGGAUUGGAGAAAUAUGUCAUGAAAAAAUUGUUCUCCUGAACAUUUGCUACUACUCCUGAGGAUUUGGAGAUUGACCAAGAGAUCUCAGAGAAGAUACACUUUUUGCAAUCCUUUUUGUGAUCUGAGCAUUUGGAUAUUCCUGCAUUUCUUCAGAAUGAAGCUUCAUGGCUGGAGCAAUGCCAAUUUGCUGUGUGGAAGUUAUCUCAUGAAUGUGAUGUUAAGAUAGAGCUAAGAUAUGCAACUUCUGUGACUAGUCAAGCAGUUUUUGUUAUUGCUGCUGUACUGCUUGCAGAAAAGGAAUUGCAGAAGAUCAACGCUUUCAAAGCUCCUCGGGAGAAGCUUCUCUGUAUUAUGAGUUGUUGCAUGAUCAUCAACAAUUUGCUGCUCAAUUCAUCAAUGUGAGAAAAUCAAGUAGUAGGAGGGCCUAAUGACUUUCUUCCUGUUCUUAUACAUGUUACAAUCAAGGCAAGAUCUCCUUGGUAAUAAGCAACUCUUUCUAUUGUUGUUUGCCUGUUUUGGACUAUCGUUUCUGUGUUUUGAUGUGUCAAUAGAAAUUUGGAUGACUAAAAAGCAUACUGCAAUCAUUGUUUGGCAUUCUAUUUUUUUCCACGUCUUUAUUGUCUUUUUUUUUGUGACAUUAGCCCAUGCCUCCAAACCAGAGAAUGUUUGGUAAUAAGUUAUUAUUUUACAUAAAGAUACAGGGUUGAAUAUCUUUUCUAGCCUACGCUGAUAUGCUAAUCUGAUCUAUUUACAUAGAAUUGGUUAAACAUUUUUUCCAGAAAUUAUAAAAGAUUUUCAAAUUACCCUUAUUGUUUUAAAAUUCAUAAAUAUUUUUUUAAUGACAAUAUGUAGGUCUGUUAUAGCAUCGUCAGAUCAUGAUUUGGUUAAAACUAACAAUAAUAAUAAGAUAGGCUCUGGUGUAUCCAUUUGCACACUGAAAUAGCAAUUACAUGCUGGAAAUAAAACAAAGAAAAAUGAAGUUAAAUAAAUUACAUGUUAAAUUUUAUUGGUGGAGCUGUAAACCUCUGAAUAAAAUCUGAAGAUAUGAGAUUCUGCUAUUCUUAAAAUUCAGAAUCUUUGUCUGCAUGUUGCUGUUUGUUAAAGAAUAAGUAAAAUUAACAAUUUUCAAUUGAACUUUUAAUUGGUUGCAAAUUUUUGAAAAGAAUGCAUGACCUCAAACUAUUGGCGAAUAUAUUAUGAAAUUGUGAUUUUUACAGAAUUGGUUAUAUUUUGUUUGUAUAUAUGUUUUUAAUUUAAAUACUUGUAGAAAAAUACUACUUUUUUUAUGGUGGCAUAUCUUAUAUUGAUGGAUGGACAGAAAUUACUAGCUUAUAUACUGACAUCCAUGAGUUUAAUGCAUAAAUCUGCAAUAAUUCUCUGAUUCAUAAUCAACAUUCAUAUUCUUGCAUUGUCAUGGGUUCAAUUUCUUCAACACUAGCGAUAAAACUAAUGUGGUGUUUGCUAGUUCCAAGAUUGUUUUGUAGUUACAAAACAGAACAGCGUAAAGGAAAUUAAAAGUAUCUUAAAAGUAUCAAGACUUUUAGGCAUAGUUUAAAGCAGCAUCCUGAUUUUUUUGUUAUGAAAUGUCCGCCACAGGCCCCGGCAUUUACAUAAGACGUCGAAGAGGCCAUUUUUCUAUAAGGAUAAACUAUUGUUGUAAAGUAAUAACGUGAAUUAUUCUCGUAGUUCCUGAAAUGCAAUGAAGCAUUUUGAAUACAUUAUUUCUCAAUUAGCCUCCUGUCUCAACAUGUGCACUUAAGAUUUCAGUUAAAUUAAUGCCCUUAGUUGACAUGGGGAGUUUAUUCAGAAAAAUCCUGGUGGAAAAAUGUGUCUAUGAUCAUAAUGAGGCUUAUUCAGUCAUCUAAGGAGGUAAUUUGCAAAAAUUAUCCAGUUAGCAUCUCACUAUUGUAGAGCCCAAGAUUCUGGAAUUAGCUAGCUUGGAUAGUUGUUAAAUAGUUUGUUUAUCAAAUUCCUGAAGCAUUCUGCGUCAUUGAGCAUGAAUGCACACUGUAUUAGUUCCUUUUGCUGGUUGAGUUUCAAAUAAAUAAUUGCUUUGCAACUGAUGCUCACUAACACUAGAUGAUGUCAUUUUGAUUUCUGUGAGGCCUUGAGGGACUGUGAGGUGAUUGUGCAGUUUUGAACCAAGUACCUGGUGAAUUUUAAUGUGCCCGUCUGAUCAAGUGGUGGACUUCUCUGCAUGCAAAUCUCUAUAUCUUCUCCUCUCUUUCUUUCCUCUCACUUUUCUUUUGUCAAAAUGUUGGCUUUGCUCGGUUGUCCAAUUCUGUGGUGAGGCUAAGUCAAUGCCAAAUCUCUUUCUUUGGAUGCAAUUGAAUUUGAAGAAAGGAUGCGGCAAGGUAUCACAAGUAGAAGCUUUACAAGCACAGACAGGUCAUGGUCCCCCAACAAGAAUGCGUUGCAUGGAGACUUUUUAGUCAGCAGAUCAAAUUAUCCAUACGUGGAAGCUGAACCUGGUGAAUUGACAGUUGAAGAUGUGGAAAGAUUUCUGAGUCUGUACAAAGAUGUAGUUACAAAGUACACUCACCUCUGCAGGGCCGUUUGGCAUCCCUCUGCAACGAGAACAGAACCAUCUCAUCAUGAUAUGAAAUUUUAUUGCAACGUGAGGUACACCUGCAAAUGAUCUAAGAGAAAGAGGCGCAUAAAUUUGAAUUUCAUCACAAUUGUCAAUCCCAGAGCACCUAGUAUGCUGCCAAACACCGCAGGUUAGUGGUGCACCAAAUGAAUCUGAGGCGUCAAGUGCCACGAAGGAUGGUGAUUUUCACUUCAAAACUUCUGGAAAGCACAAGCAUAAUCAACUUUGUAUGCUAUUGGUAAGGUUUUCAGAAAUGGACAAUUUACAAGCUACUUAAGACAAUACAACUUUCAGUUCUGAUUCAUUAAACCAAUGAAAGUUGAGAAAAAUACUUUAAAUAUCAAACGCAAUAGUUCAGUAUCAAAUUAUUCUGCCAUUUAGCUGUAAAGCAAGACUUGCAUGGAUGGCAGUGCAGUGUUUGCAAGUUCAAGGUGCGUACCCUUGGCUAUAUUCAUUGUUGGACUGGCUAUAUUCAUUGUUGGAUUCCUGAACCACCAUCUCUUUUCAAAAAUAAGCAUGGUAUAUGUUUUUUUUUUUUUCAGUUUUUUUUUCUUUUCCAGUUUGUAAAGCUAUAUACGGGCUCGCAUUAACUACUUAGCCACUCUUUUCUCCAACCAAUAUUAAGGUUCAAUAAAGUUCAUGAUUAAGUGGA